GGGGAUAAUUCUUGAUAGAUCACAUAUGUUGGAGGGCUUAUGGAUUUAAAGAUCCGUCGCCCCGGGAUGGGUCUGCGGCCUAUCAGGUUGUAGUGGGUCUAGAGUACCUACUAGCCAACGACGGGUACGGGUUGUGAGAACAAGAGCCCGGAGAUGGAUUCUGAGACAUUAAUCCAGGCCCUACGGGGCGCAGCAGGCGCGAAACCUUUACACUGCGGGAAACCGCGAUAAGGGGACACCGAGUGCCAGCAUACAAUGCUGGCUGUCCACAUGUGUAAAUAGCAUGUGAUAGCAAGGGCCGGGCAAGACCGGUGCCAGCCGGCGCGGUAACACCGGCGGCCCGAGUGGUAAUCACUAUUAUUGGGUCUAAAGGGUCCGUAGCCGGUUUAAUCAGUCUUCCGGGAAACCUGACAGCUCAACUGUUAGGCUACCGGGGGAUACUGUUAGACUUGGGACCGGGAGAGGUAAGAGGUACUACAGGGGUAGGAGUGAAAUCUUGUAAUCCCUGUGGGACCACCAGUGGCGAGGGCGUCUUACCAGAACGAGUCCGACGGUGAGGGACGAAAGCUGGGGGCACGAACCGGAUUAGGUACCCGGGUAGUCCCAGCCGUAAACGAUGCUCGCUAGGUGUCUGGAAUGGUGCGACCGUUUCAGGUGCCGCAGGGAAGCCGUGAAGCAAGCCACCUGGGAAGUACGGCCGCAAGGCUGAAACUUAAAGGAAUUGGCGGGGGAGCAC
Molecule: ribosomal RNA, 736 nt
Filed under: uncultured archaeon
Lineage: Archaea
Description: bacterial SSU rRNA
Rfam family: Archaeal small subunit ribosomal RNA
Source: RNAcentral